AGAGUUUGAUCAUGGCUCAGGAUGAACGCUAGCGGCAGGCCUAAUACAUGCAAGUCGAGGGGUAUAGUAGCAAUACUAGAGACCGGCGCACGGGUGCGUAACGCGUAUGCAACCUACCUUAAUCAGGGGGAUAGCCCGGAGAAAUCCGGAUUAACACCGCAUAAAAUCACAACCUGGCAUCAGGAAAUGAUCAAAUAUUUAUAGGAUUAAGAUGGGCAUGCGUGACAUUAGUUAGUUGGUGAGGUAACGGCUCACCAAGACGACGAUGUCUAGGGGAUCUGAGAGGAUGACCCCCCACACUGGUACUGAGACACGGACCAGACUCCUACGGGAGGCAGCAGUAAGGAAUAUUGGUCAAUGGAGGCAACUCUGAACCAGCCAUGCCGCGUGCAGGAAGACGGCCCUACGGGUUGUAAACUGCUUUUGUCGGGGAAUAAACCUUUUUACGUGUAAGAAGUUGAAUGUACUCGAAGAAUAAGGAUCGGCUAACUCCGUGCCAGCAGCCGCGGUAAUACGGAGGAUCCAAGCGUUAUCCGGAUUUAUUGGGUUUAAAGGGUGCGUAGGCGGCUUAUUAAGUCAGGGGUGAAAGACGGUGGCUCAACCAUCGCAGUGCCUUUGAUACUGAUGAGCUUGAAUGAACUUGAGGUAGGCGGAAUGUGACAAGUAGCGGUGAAAUGCAUAGAUAUGUCACAGAACACCAAUUGCGAAGGCAGCUUACUAAAGUUUAAUUGACGCUGAGGCACGAAAGCGUGGGGAUCAAACAGGAUUAGAUACCCCGGUAGUCC
RNAcentral lists this ribosomal RNA (785 nucleotides) under uncultured bacterium. Its description in RNAcentral is "bacterial SSU rRNA". It matches the Rfam family "Bacterial small subunit ribosomal RNA", at positions 8 to 796 of the family's 1533-position model. The record is from RNAcentral.